RNAcentral lists this ribosomal RNA (641 nucleotides) under uncultured bacterium. RNAcentral describes it as "bacterial SSU rRNA". It matches the Rfam family "Bacterial small subunit ribosomal RNA", at positions 9 to 651 of the family's 1533-position model. The record is from RNAcentral.
GAGUUUGAUCAUGGCUCAGGAUGAACGCUAGCGGCAGGCUUAACACAUGCAAGUCGAGGGGUAUAGUUCUUCGGAAUUAGAGACCGGCGCACGGGUGCGUAACGCGUAUGCAAUCUACCUUUCACAGAGGGAUAGCCCAGAGAAAUUUGGAUUAAUACCUCAUAGUAUAACGAUUCCGCAUGGAGAUGUUAUUAAAGUCACAACGGUGAAAGAUGAGCAUGCGUCCCAUUAGCUAGUUGGUAAGGUAACGGCUUACCAAGGCUACGAUGGGUAGGGGUCCUGAGAGGGAGAUCCCCCACACUGGUACUGAGACACGGACCAGACUCCUACGGGAGGCGGCAGUGAGGAAUAUUGGACAAUGGGCGCAAGCCUGAUCCAGCCAUGCCGCGUGCAGGAUGACGGUCCUAUGGAUUGUAAACUGCUUUUGCACAGGAAGAAACAACGCUACGUGUAGCGUCUUGACGGUACUGUGAGAAUAAGGAUCGGCUAACUCCGUGCCAGCAGCCGCGGUAAUACGGAGGAUCCAAGCGUUAUCCGGAAUCAUUGGGUUUAAAGGGUCCGUAGGCGGUUUAGUAAGUCAGUGGUGAAAGCCCAUCGCUCAACGGUGGAACGGCCAUUGAUACUGCUAGACUUGAAUUAUU